RNAcentral lists this unclassified non-coding RNA (115 nucleotides) under uncultured fungus. Its description in RNAcentral is "sequence contains ITS1". The record is from RNAcentral. Lineage: Eukaryota; Fungi.
CAUCCACAACACGUUGGCGUCGUCCUUCCCAAGGUCCAAGGCCCGCAUGGCAAGCCGAAGACCUGCCGCCGUCUCCGCCUCAACCUGCUCCGCCCAUCCCUGCUGGCGCCGCUCC